UACGAAGGGGGCUAGCGUUGCUCGGAAUCACUGGGCGUAAAGCGCACGUAGGCCGAUUGUUAAGUCAGGGGUGAAAUCCUGGAGCUCAACUCCAGAACUGCCCUUGAUACUGACGGUCUUGAGUCGGGAGAGGUGAGUGGAACUGCGAGUGUAGAGGUGAAAUUCGUAGAUAUUCGCAAGAACACCAGUGGCGAAGGCGGCUCACUGGCCCGAUACGUGACGCU
Molecule: ribosomal RNA, 224 nt
Filed under: uncultured bacterium
Lineage: Bacteria
Description: partial 16S ribosomal RNA
Rfam family: Bacterial small subunit ribosomal RNA
Source: RNAcentral